Molecule: unclassified non-coding RNA, 1410 nt
Filed under: Hevea brasiliensis (rubber tree)
Lineage: Eukaryota; Viridiplantae; Streptophyta; Magnoliopsida; Malpighiales; Euphorbiaceae
Source: RNAcentral
CUCUCUCUCUCUCUCUCUUUCUAGGCAGAUGUUGUUGAUAUGUCUGCAAACUACAUAUUGUCUUCUAUCCAUAUAAACCUAAUCAAAUACUAACUAAAAACUAAUUUCAAAAUGCAAAGGUUUUUCUAAACCAGGAAGUUUUGAUAUAAAUACGGCAAAAUUUCUCAUUUGUAUAGUGUCUUGAAGCUGUGCUCUAAAAUGAGGUCAAUACUAUAGACAAACAUUUGAGGUGGCUAAACUGGUUUCUUUGACUUGGAAUUUGCUCAGUGAUACUUUUAUGCCCAAAUUUUCCAUCAUUCCAUGUUCGCUGCUGCUAUGGAUUGGUUCUGCUUCUGUUAUUUUCAUCCUAGGCUACUGAGCUAGCACGAUCUACUGUUGGGCUUAUUCCAUGCUUUGCCAUGGAUAUUUCUAGAUGUGAUGGAUGUGCAUUUGUGUUCUUGGUAAGUACGCUUCUUGUUUUGCUGCUGUGCUGCUAUUUUUUAUGCUACUCUAUAACUUUGCAUUAAAAUCAAUCCUAGAAGCUUGCAAUGUUCAAAUUUAAGACUUUGUCAUUUGAUACUUUGAUUUUUAUGGUACUCAAGAAUAUUUUAUGAUUUGUGGAUUAGUCACUCUGAGUGAUAUAGGAGCUGCCUUUUGCUAUACAAUGUUUCUCACUGAAGUUAAAUUGAAAAAAGGGGUUGCACAAUCUUUUGAUCUAUUCAGAUGUCAUGUCUUGUUUUUUAACAUGAGAUUCGCUUAUGAAGGAAGCAUUGUAUAGUUCAACUUUAAGGCACCUGCCAACAAUCUGGGACAUUAUUUUAUUUUAUUUUUUUCCAAAACUUUUUCUCACAUAUUAUAUCUGAACCAUUAAUGCACACUUAGUUUUUCUGAGAGAUGCCCUCCAAGUUUCCUCACUGUUAUGGUUUUUCAAAUCCCAGCACUUCUAUUAAAUGAGCAACUAAAUCUUUUAUAUUCAAACACUGAUUCCUAUAUGAUGGAGAAUUCAUAUUGUAAGUUCUACAUUCCCUGUUGCCUUCUACUUAAUUGGUUUGAUUCUAAAUAGGAAGAUCAAGAUGCCUCAAGUUCUUUUUAGUUUUAUGUUCCUGAUACUAUUUAUUGGCAAAGGGGUGAUAGCGACUUCUUUCUCCUAUUCUUCAAAUGUCCAAUGGGCAAUGCAUUAGGCAUGUUCCGACUUUUUGUCUCCCUUGUUGUAGUGUAACAAAAACUGUUCUUUUAGGUCUGUUAACAUGUUUUUUUAACAUACCACAAUACCCAUAAUCCCAUAAAUCGAUGUGCAUGCCUCUCUAUCUUUAUCUCUCUUUACACAUUGACUUGGUUUUUCUCCUCUCUACUCCUUGGUUUAUCAGCUGCAUAUAUUAUAAUAUGUUAUGGACUGAAGGUCCUUGAACCAAAUUACUCAAAUCAAGAGGU